This 428-nucleotide ribosomal RNA is filed under the name uncultured bacterium. Its description in RNAcentral is "bacterial SSU rRNA". It matches the Rfam family "Bacterial small subunit ribosomal RNA", at positions 340 to 783 of the family's 1533-position model. The record is from RNAcentral.
UACGGAAGGCAGCAGUGGGGAAUAUUGGACAAUGGGCGAAAGCCUGAUCCAGCCAUGCCGCAUGAGUGAAGAAGGCCUUCGGGUUGUAAAGCUCUUUUAGUGAGAAAGAUAAUGACGGUACUCACAGAAGAAGUCCUGGCUAACUCCGUGCCAGCAGCCGCGGUAAUACGGAGAGGGCUAGCGUUAUUCGGAAUUAUUGGGCGUAAAGAGCGCGUAGGCUGAUUAGUAAGUUAAAAGUGAAAUCCCAAAGCUUAACUUUGGAAUUGCUUUUUAAAACUGCUAGUCUAGAGAUUGAAAGAGGAUAGAGGAAUUCCUAGUGUAGAGGUGAAAUUCGUAAAUAUUAGGAGGAACACCAGUGGCGAAGGCGUCUAUCUGGUUCAAAUCUGACGCUGAGGCGCGAAGGGCGUGGGGAGCAAACGAGUAUAGAC